Molecule: long non-coding RNA, 1632 nt
Organism: Oryza sativa Japonica Group (Japanese rice)
Lineage: Eukaryota; Viridiplantae; Streptophyta; Magnoliopsida; Poales; Poaceae
Source: RefSeq, a predicted model, not a curated record
UGGGCCAACGGUCCAUGGGCCACGCGAACAGGGGAAGCCGAAUCGUCGCGUGUUUAUAUAAAAUAUAAAAAAAUCAAUGAGCAGGGGAAAAGGUACGAAAAAGAAAAAAAAAUAAAAGAGACGCAGAAGUAACCCAUCUCCUCAGAAGCAAAUCCACCGCCGCCUCCGCAUUGCCGUCGCCUCCUCCGCCUCUACUUCCAUUCCACGUCGCCGGCGAAGUCCAUCCACGCCGUUGCUUUCUCCUCUCCUCCUCCGGCGUCUCUUCCUCGCACAGUCCACCGCCUCCUCGCCUCCACCGCACCCCUCCUACUCGCUUUCUCAUCCCCAUCCCCAUCCCAAUCACAGCUUCAGAAAAAGCGGGACAAAGAUAAAUCGGAUCACAGCUAAAUAGUUUGGAGAAUACACUUGGUUUCUUGCCCUGCGUCAGUCUGUUGGGCAAAUAUGUGAAUCAAGGACACAAUUAAAUUUGAAGAUCUACAUAUCUGCACCGAUGGUUCAAAAAUGGCUGUAAAUCAGUAACACUUUUGUCAAAAUAAUCCUGUUCACUUUAAUUUUUUUCCCUUCUGAGUUCUGAAGCUGAAAGCCAAGCAAACAGCUCAUGGUCACUAUAUUAUUGGUUCUCGUGUCCAUGAGGCCUGAGGACACCUUAACCUUAACCUAUUAAUUAACAACAAAGUUUUAGUUCUACUCUACAAUUAGCCUAUGUAAUUAGUACAACACUAGGUACUGAAUGCUACAGUUUCUAACUCUGCAUUUACCCUAUGUAAUGUCAAUCAUAUAUUGCAGACUGUUUAUGCACAUGUCAAGAUUAUAGCGUGAAUUUGACAGCCGAAAUGUAAAUGACUGCAUCUGCCCAUCUCUAAUUUUUAUCUAGAGACUAAUAUGACAAUCCACUAGCCUACAAAAUCUAGGGAGCAUUGCACAUAAAUAUAUCACCUUUUUCAUAGCUAAAUGUUUUUUUUUCAUAUUUGACUGUGUCUACGUGUACUGUCAUCACACCUGCUACAAGUCUGAUGACAGAUUCAUCGAUAUGAACAAGCUCAAGGCCUCCAUUUCUGGUGGUUAGCUUUGAUUAAUUGUAUUUGCAUUGCACCUGUUCUGUAUCACUGCAUGUGUAUAACUCAAGACAGUGUGCCAGCUGAAGUUUUGUGAUCAUUUUCUAGAGGUUAUUGGCUAUUUUGCUUUCCUGAUUAACACAAUUUUAUUUGUACUGUCAUUGUUAGAUGGAGGUUCUUCAAGAAUUAUAAUUUCUCUCUUUGAUUUUUAGAAUUAAAACAUUUUAACUAUUUCAAUAGGUCAAAUUAAAUAUGUUUACAACUGUAGUUAUAACAGAAACUUCACACAAAUUCCAUUUCAUAAUACAAGAGUAUGAAUGCAUCUGAAACACCUUGAUGUCAUCAUGAUAAAAAGCAUAAUUUCCCCCCUUAAUGAACUGACAAGAAUCACUGACAGGUUGUUGUUUAAUACUCUGUAGAAGUGUAGAGUAAUGAAUAUUUAGUUUUGUAAUUGGAAGAGAGAAUGUAGUAUGCUCCGUAAAAUAUUGAACAUUCACGCUUGAGCAUAGUAUUUGAGCCUUGAGCGAGAAACAUUGGAUUGUUAUUAACAGGUCCUAUGAUUCCGCAAAAAAAAAAA